This 551-nucleotide ribosomal RNA is filed under the name uncultured Thioprofundum sp. RNAcentral describes it as "bacterial SSU rRNA". It matches the Rfam family "Bacterial small subunit ribosomal RNA", at positions 344 to 886 of the family's 1533-position model. Lineage: Bacteria; Pseudomonadati; Pseudomonadota; Gammaproteobacteria; Chromatiales; Thioprofundaceae. The record is from RNAcentral.
GGAGGCAGCAGUGGGGAAUAUUGGGCAAUGGGGGCAACCCUGAUCCAGCAAUGCCGCGUGUGUGAAGAAGGCCUGCGGGUUGUAAAGCACUUUCCGAAGGGAGGAAAAGCUAUAGGCUAAUAUCCUGUACUCUUGACGUUACCUUCAUAAGAAGCACCGGCUAACUCCGUGCCAGCAGCCGCGGUAAUACGGAGGGUGCAAGCGUUAAUCGGAAUUACUGGGCGUAAAGCGCGCGUAGGUGGUUUGUUAAGUCGGAUGUGAAAGCCCCGGGCUCAACCUGGGAAUUGCAUUCCAUACUGGCAGACUAGAGUAUGGUAGAGGGAAGUGGAAUUCCAGGUGUAGCGGUGAAAUGCGUAGAUAUCUGGAGGAACAUCACUGGCGAAGGCGGCUUCCUGGACCAAUACUGACACUGAGGUGCGAAAGCGUGGGUAGCAAACAGGAUUAGGUACCCUGGUAGUCCACGCCGUAAACGAUGAAAACUAGUUGUUGGAGAGGUUAAACUCUUUAUUGACGCAGCUAACGCAUUACGUUCUCCGCCUGGGGAGUACCAU